Molecule: ribosomal RNA, 571 nt
Filed under: Oidiodendron maius
Lineage: Eukaryota; Fungi; Ascomycota; Leotiomycetes; Myxotrichaceae
Description: partial 28S ribosomal RNA
Rfam family: Eukaryotic large subunit ribosomal RNA
Source: RNAcentral
ACAGGGAUUGCCUCAGUAACGGCGAGUGAAGCGGCAACAGCUCAAAUUUGAAAUCUGGCCCCCUCGGGGUCCGAGUUGUAAUUUGGAGAGGAUGCUUCGGGUGUGGCCCCGGUCUAAGUUCCUUGGAACAGGACGUCACAGAGGGUGAGAAUCCCGUACGUGCCCGGUGGCCGCCCCCGUGUGAAGCUCCUUCGACGAGUCGAGUUGUUUGGGAAUGCAGCUCAAAAUGGGUGGUAAAUUUCAUCUAAAGCUAAAUAUUGGCCAGAGACCGAUAGCGCACAAGUAGAGUGAUCGAAAGAUGAAAAGCACUUUGGAAAGAGAGUUAAACAGUACGUGAAAUUGUUGAAAGGGAAGCGCUGGCAACCAGACUUGCGCGGGGUCGAUCAUCCGGUGUUCGCACCGGUGCACUCGGCCCCGUGCAGGCCAGCAUCGGUCUGGGCGGCUGGAUAAAGGCCUUGGGAAUGUGGCUCUCUUCGGGGAGUGUUAUAGCCCAAGGUGCAAUGCAGCCCGCCUGGACCGAGGACCGCGCUCCGGCUAGGAUGCUGGCGUAAUGGUUGUCAGCGACCCGUCU